RNAcentral lists this ribosomal RNA (619 nucleotides) under Pseudomonas sp. EECC-163. Its description in RNAcentral is "bacterial SSU rRNA". It matches the Rfam family "Bacterial small subunit ribosomal RNA", at positions 88 to 703 of the family's 1533-position model. The record is from RNAcentral. Lineage: Bacteria; Pseudomonadati; Pseudomonadota; Gammaproteobacteria; Pseudomonadales; Pseudomonadaceae.
UGAUUCAGCGGCGGACGGGUGAGUAAUGCCUAGGAAUCUGCCUGGUAGUGGGGGACAACGUUUCGAAAGGAACGCUAAUACCGCAUACGUCCUACGGGAGAAAGCAGGGGACCUUCGGGCCUUGCGCUAUCAGAUGAGCCUAGGUCGGAUUAGCUAGUUGGUGAGGUAAUGGCUCACCAAGGCGACGAUCCGUAACUGGUCUGAGAGGAUGAUCAGUCACACUGGAACUGAGACACGGUCCAGACUCCUACGGGAGGCAGCAGUGGGGAAUAUUGGACAAUGGGCGAAAGCCUGAUCCAGCCAUGCCGCGUGUGUGAAGAAGGUCUUCGGAUUGUAAAGCACUUUAAGUUGGGAGGAAGGGCAGUAAAUUAAUACUUUGCUGUUUUGACGUUACCGACAGAAUAAGCACCGGCUAACUCUGUGCCAGCAGCCGCGGUAAUACAGAGGGUGCAAGCGUUAAUCGGAAUUACUGGGCGUAAAGCGCGCGUAGGUGGUUCGUUAAGUUGGAUGUGAAAUCCCCGGGCUCAACCUGGGAACUGCAUCCAAAACUGGCGAGCUAGAGUAUGGUAGAGGGUGGUGGAAUUUCCUGUGUAGCGGUGAAAUGCGUAGAUAUAGGAAG